RNAcentral lists this ribosomal RNA (547 nucleotides) under uncultured Glomus. RNAcentral describes it as "SSU rRNA". It matches the Rfam family "Eukaryotic small subunit ribosomal RNA", at positions 548 to 1098 of the family's 1831-position model. The record is from RNAcentral. Lineage: Eukaryota; Fungi; Glomeromycota; Glomeromycetes; Glomerales; Glomeraceae.
UUGGAGGGCAAGUCUGGUGCCAGCAGCCGCGGUAAUUCCAGCUCCAAUAGCGUAUAUUAAAGUUGUUGCAGUUAAAAAGCUCGUAGUUGAAUUUCGGGGUUAGUAAGUUGGUCAUGCCUCUGGUAUGCACUGGCUUUACUGAUUCCUCCUUCUUGACGAACUGUAAUGUCAUUAAUUUGGUGUUGCAGGGAAUCAGGACUGUUACUUUGAAAAAAUUAGAGUGUUUAAAGCAGGCAUAAGCUUGAAUACAUUAGCAUGGAAUAAUGAAAUAGGACGUUUGAUCCUAUUUUGUUGGUUUCUAGGAUUGACGUAAUGAUUAAUAGGGAUAGUUGGGGGCAUUAGUAUUCAAUUGUCAGAGGUGAAAUUCUUGGAUUUAUUGAAGACUAACUACUGCGAAAGCAUUUGCCAAGGAUGUUUUCAUUAAUCAAGAACGAAAGUUAGGGGAUCGAAGACGAUCAGAUACCGUCGUAGUCUUAACCAUAAACUAUGCCGACUAGGGAUCGGAUGAUGUUAUUUUUAAUGACUCAUUCGGCGCCUUACGGGAAAC